Molecule: ribosomal RNA, 513 nt
Filed under: uncultured bacterium
Lineage: Bacteria
Description: partial 16S ribosomal RNA
Rfam family: Bacterial small subunit ribosomal RNA
Source: RNAcentral
GACGAACGCUGGCGGCGUGCUUAACACAUGCAAGUCGAACGAAAAGAGGGAAAGAGCUUGCUCUUUCCGGAAUUGAGUGGCAAACGGGUGAGUAGCACGUAAACAACCUGCCUUCAGGAUGGGGACAACAGACGGAAACGACUGCUAAUACCGAAUAAGUUCCAAGGGCCGCAUGGCCCAUGGAAGAAAAGGUGGCCUCUACCUGUAAGCUAUCGCCUGAAGAGGGGUUUGCGUCUGAUUAGCUGGUUGGAGGGGUAACGGCCCACCAAGGCGACGAUCGGUAGCCGGACUGAGAGGAGGGACGGCCACACUGGGACUGAGACACGGUCCAGACGCCUACGGGAGGCAGCAGUGGGGAAUCUUCCGCAAUGGGCGAAAGCCUGACGGAGCAACGCCGCGUGAGUGAUGACGGCCUUCGGGUUGUAAAACUCUGUGAUCCGGGACGAAAAGGCAGAGUGCGAAGAACAAACUGCAUUGACGGUACCGGAAAAGCAAGCCACGGCUAACUACGUG